CCGCUUCCCCAGCCCUGCUGCCUAGAGAAACUCUGACUACCCAUCAACAGCUUUCUAUUCUGUAGCUUAUAUACUGUUCAUACCAGACUUCAAGUAUAGAAUCUUAGGGAACACAAGAAUGGAAAACGGUGUAGCUUUUAAAAAAUGUAUUUCCUCAUUUAAAAACUAGAAAUCCUAUAUUUUUUUGUGAAUUAUUUCAGAGUUUCAGGUUAAACACUCACUUUGUAACUAAUAUUUUAAUGUAUUAAAAAUUCAUUACAGAUGUAUUAAAACGUAUUGAAAGUGAGGUGGAGGAUGGGAUUGAGGAGGAAGAGCAGGAGCGGACGGAGUGGGGGAGAGAGUGGUCCGUGGUUGGAGGUGUGCAGGCAGUGGGGAUGCCUCUUGGAGGCAGGCUCUGUGACAGCCGGGCUGGGAUGAAGAGGGUCCAAAAAAGCCGCAGGCGUCUGGGUUAAAGGAGAGCAGUAGUAGCAGGAACUGGCGUCAUUCACUCUUUUCUGCACAUGCUAUGAGUAACAAUACUAAAAACCUUGUUUUGCCUUUUACUUUCCUGAAACUUCUCCAGUGCCCUCAGUUUCAUUCACUGAUAUAAAUCUGAAGUCUCUCCUUCUUUCCUGCUGAGUGGGAACCUCAUUAUUAAGACACCAGCAUAUGUCACUUCCAGUUUUGACUGGCCAGGGGUUCCAGACACGGAAUGUUGGGAAUAACUAGUAGCCACAUAAAUUCAAGGACAGAUCAACGCUAGUAUAUUUGGUUUCAGCAUGUUACUGCCUUUAGUUAUAAUUCUAAAAAAGUAAUUAAAACCCAUUAAAAUAUGUUGGGUCAGUGAAAAGAUUCCUUUUAUUGUAUUGUCCUGUUAUACUUAAUGUUUUAAAAAAUACUCUAACAAUAAAUUUGGUUUAGUAUUUUGGUUAUAUUUAAUCUGUGGAACAUUGUGUUAAAAUCCAGAUAUAUGCUUAUUGCCUAACAUUUUGUUCCUUACGUAUGCAGUGCUAUAUUCUACAUGUGGGAAUUUUCAGAAUUGUACAUAGCAUAAGUCUCCCUGCUUCCAUUUUUUGAGCCUGAGUGUAAUGAUUUUUUUAAAAAGGUUAUAUUUAACCAUAAUUACUUUUUAUGUUAAAUUUAGUUACAAAUAUUCUGGCAACAGAAUGCUAGUAAUCUUUAUUUUGAUUAUUUUGAUCCAAUUCAAUUAUUUUGAUAUCAUUCAUUUUGAUAUCAUUCAACAUUUCUGACUAUCCAGUUUUAAAAAUUGGAGCUAUGAUUUUUCUUUAUCAUUCUUUAAAGGAGCCAUUUUAUUAGUCUUCCAGCAUGUAAUCUGGAGUUUUUUGUAAUAACCUCACUUCUAAUUGGCUUUAUUAAAGUUUAAUACUGAUUUUUAUAAAAAUAUGUUAUAAAUACCUCCCUGACAAGGUUCUUUAUCAUAAAGACAGUACUUACUUGGAGUUCAUCAGGUAGCUCCCAUGGGUCCAGGUGCCAUUACUUAUUCUUGGGUGCAUCAUUUUCUUGCAUUUUGUAAAUUUAAGACAGUUAGUAGACUGACUCUUGGAGAAGCUUCAGAACCUUAAGUAUAUGUACCCUUAUAUACCCUAAGAGGCUUCUAUUAGAAGAAUAUACUAUUUUUUGUUUGUUUUCAAAUUCCAGUAAAGCAUACCACAUUUAAGAACUUAAAAAUUUCCUGUCGUCUACUCAAUUGAUAUUCAUGUUAAUAUUAAAUAUCUUAAGUUGUAUUGGGAGUAAUUUGAGGUGCAGUUAUUUUUAUCACUACUUUCUUCAGGAAACUAAGCAAUAAAUAUACAUUUUUAAUGAAGAAUAUAUCAGUUGUGAGUAGGCUUGUUUCAAAACUAUUCUAGCCAUUGAGUUGUGUUUUC
This 1865-nucleotide long non-coding RNA is filed under the name Bos taurus (domestic cattle). RNAcentral's name for it is "long non-coding RNA NONBTAT025101". Lineage: Eukaryota; Metazoa; Chordata; Mammalia; Artiodactyla; Bovidae. The record is from RNAcentral.